GGGAACGCCGCCUCCGGCCUGCUCUCCAGCUGCGGAGUGAACUGGGAAGGUUUGCAAUUAAAAAAAAAAAAUUAUGUGUGAGGUUCCCGAUAUAGUAUUUCAAAGAGCACACCCGCCAAAUCCAACAUCCUCUAGGAGGCUGACUUUAAAAAAAAAAAAAAAAAAAAAACAACAGCGCGCCGGGCUCCCCUGGCCCCCGCAGGCUCGGGGCAGAGGCGGGGAGGCAGGUGGUCCAGGUGCGCCCCUGCCCGGGGGGGCGAGGCGUCCGGCGGGAAGGCUGCAGCGACCGCAUGGAGGAAGGGGCGGCAGGUGCGCGGCGCUGGAAGAACCGGCGGCUGGGAGAGCAUCUCUGCCUCGCCCAUCUUGCCCCCUCCCCACCUCCGCUCUGGCGUUGGGACGGGAGGAGGAGGGAGGAAUGGAACCAGGGAGUCCGAAGUACAGCUUUGACAACUGUCGCGCUGGCCGGGUAAUUUAAUUCCAACCUUUUUAACCUCCUGAAAAUCUGCCUUUUAUUUUACUGUUUAAUGUUUUUUGUGUCCAUGGUGUAGAAAAACUACGGCGCUAGUAUAGUGCUGGUGUGUGCUAAAUUAGAGUUCCCAAGGCACAAUAUAGAAUUUUUUGGUUUGCAUAAACUUUGCUAACCAAAGUAUUAAAGCACCUUCAAAAAUGUACUUAGGCUGGCCAGGGCUCACGCCUGUAAUGCCAGCACUGUGGGAGGCCGAGGCGGGCGGAUCACCUGAGGUCCGGAGUUGGACACCAGCCUGGCUAACGUGGUGAAAUCCCGUCUCUACAAAAAAUACAAAAUUAGCCGGGCGUGGUGGCGCAUGCCUGACAUCCCAGCUGCUUGGGAGGCUGAGGCGGGAGAAUAGCUUGAACCCGGGAGGCGGAGGUUGCAGUGAGCCAAGAUCGUGCCAUUGCACUCCAGCUUGGGCAACAAGAGCGAAACUCAGUCUCAAAAAAAAAAAAAAAAAAAAAGAAGAAGAAGAAAAAUGUACUUAAGCUAUUGCCAAAAAAAUUUUGGAAGUCUGUUUUUUAAAUCUAUAUUUCAAUUCUUUGCAAAAAGUGGAAAAAUUAAAGAAUUUUAGCAUUGUGUUCUUGAAGAUUAGAGAGCAUUCAUUAAUAUAAAACUACUGCAAAGACAGGUAGAAUCCCAUUUUAACAUACACAUAAAAAUCAAGUUUUAUAGGAGGCCAUUCCCACACCCUGGCUGGCCUCCCAGAGUGUGCCUACUUCGCUGAUGGGGAUACAAGGCAUUCUUUGAGAUGGGAAAUUCUUCAAACCACAUCUUUAUGUUGCAGCAAGGGAUAGGAUGAUGAUGAUGAUAUUGAAAGAAAAAGACUUUAAUAAAGUACAGAACCUUUUUUUUUCUUUUUGCGAAAUCAUGUUAUAGAAAUGAGUAAUGCCGCAAUGGAAUACAUAUAAUUAAAGUUAAAUCUUUUUCUUCAGUAUUAGUGACAGGUUUUGUCUGGAGUAGUUGAGUUGAUAUUUCAAAUGAAUAAGUCUGCUUAAUUCCUGAAAUUCUUUAACUGCAGAAAUCACUGCUGGAAGUUUCUCUUAGUCUCCCUAAUUGUCACGGUUUUUGCAGCUGUGGAUCCUGUUCUACUAAAGAGAAAGUUAGAUGGUCAUGUUAAAGACGAUUUAGGCAAUUUCUUGGUUGGUGGGGAAGGUAAUGUUCAGGCAACGAAAUCUGCAAAAUUCUCUUCUAAUUCCUCUAUGGAAUCUUGAUGUUUUGCAAACACUCUUGGUUCUGAAAGCUAGAAAAAAAGAACUUUUUUCCGUAAAGAUGUAUAAUCACGGAUUCAUGAGUCACGAAAUGAGUGGUCUUACCUGAACUAUUGAGCCUUCUAGUGGAAUUGUUUCCAGAGUUGGAAGAAACAACAUUAAAUCCUCUUCCCAAGCUUGUCUGUGUCUGGCUGAACAUGAUGCUGAAAAGGAAAUGUGUCAGGACAGAUACUUUUUCUUCUGAGUUGUAUCUGGUUUCUACAGUUAAACAGUGGAAUCUAUCCUUGUUUGUUUUCUGGGCACAUUUAGAUAGUGUAUUCUUCCCACAUUAAGAAUGGCAUUUUUGGCCCACUUUACUUUGCCUUAAAUGCCCUGUGGUGCUGGGGGAAGUGGUGGGAGGAAGGAAAAUGAAGGAAAGAUAAAAUUUUAAGCUUUUAAGCAUCCAAUUCUGUAUGUCUGUAUGACAACACUGUAGUCAAUAUGGUAGCUCAAAAAGAACUGAAGCAUUCGCCUGUAUCUGAGUCAAGUCAGACGAUGGAUUCUUUUUUUCCACCUUACCAGGUUUUGUCACUCAUGCCAUCCCUAAUACCUCCUCCCGACUCCAGCACACACACAGUCUUCUCCCACUCCCACGCCCUGAGGAUUUGUUAGAGGAAAGCAAAGAGAUUCACAUUCCAUCCUGGAAGGUAACAAUUAUGGUGUCUGAUUAUCCUCUGAAGGCCCUCUGGAAGAGAUCAAACAGUUUCAAGGCUUUAGAGUGUUCUUGGAGGCAUCCCAGACAGGUGUAAGAAUGUGCUAACACAAAUAGUUGCCAUUCAGACCACUUUGGAUAUCUUUUGUUAAACGUCCAUGCAAUAGUUUUGGUUUCUCCUGGUGUGAUUUUAUUAUAAAUACCUGUAUAUUGAAAUUAUUCAUUUAUUCAGUACAGCUUGUUGAGCACCAAGAAUGUGCCAGGUUUAGGGCUGGAUGCUUGGAACACAAAGACAAGUAAGUCAUGGAUGGUUCCCUGCCCGCAGGGCUUUGCUAUAAAACAGUGAAAAUAAGGAGAACAGAAGGAAGUCUAAAAGACAAAGGAAAAUGUUUUGUCUCUGUUUAUAGUUUUGAUUGUCUUUUCAUGCACUCUAAAAGAUGAAUAUAAAAACUACUAAGGAAUGAGACUAUAUUAUUUUUGUAAUACUUCGUCGAAUGCAAAUAGUAAAAUAAAAAUAAUUUUCUUAUACAUGGAAAAUCACAUUUCAUGUUACAUUUCAUUAAGAGCCUAAAGGACAUGAGUGUAAUUUCCAAGAGGCAGAAUUUUUUAUUCACUGCUGUAUAUUCAGUGGCUAGAACAUUGGCUGACGCAUACUAGUCACUUAAUAAAUAUUUGCUGAAUAAAUGAAAUGGAAAAUAUGAACUAGCAGAAUUUUGUAUUUUGUAGAUGUUAUUAGUAUGAA
RNAcentral lists this long non-coding RNA (3155 nucleotides) under Homo sapiens (human). RNAcentral describes it as "non-protein coding lnc-NEMP2-38:3". The record is from RNAcentral. Lineage: Eukaryota; Metazoa; Chordata; Mammalia; Primates; Hominidae.